RNAcentral lists this transfer RNA (75 nucleotides) under Deltaproteobacteria bacterium. Its description in RNAcentral is "tRNA-Gln". It matches the Rfam family "tRNA". Rfam says of the family: Transfer RNA (tRNA) molecules are approximately 80 nucleotides in length. Their secondary structure includes four short double-helical elements and three loops (D, anti-codon, and T loops). Further hydrogen bonds mediate the characteristic L-shaped molecular structure. tRNAs have two regions of fundamental functional importance: the anti-codon, which is responsible for specific mRNA codon recognition, and the 3' end, to which the tRNAs corresponding amino acid is attached (by aminoacyl-tRNA synthetases). tRNAs cope with the degeneracy of the genetic code in two manners: having more than one tRNA (with a specific anti-codon) for a particular amino acid; and 'wobble' base-pairing, i.e. permitting non-standard base-pairing at the 3rd anti-codon position. The record is from RNAcentral. Lineage: Bacteria; Pseudomonadati; Myxococcota; Myxococcia. RNAcentral also lists the same sequence under 5 other names.
AGGGGCGUCGCCAAGCGGUAAGGCACUGGAUUUUGAUUCCAGCAUUCACAGGUUCGAUCCCUGUCGCCCCUGCCA